GCCUUCGGGUUGUAAACCGCUUUUGUCAGGGAAGAAAUCUUCUGAGUUAAUACCUCGGGAGGAUGACGGUACCUGAAGAAUAAGCACCGGC
RNAcentral lists this ribosomal RNA (91 nucleotides) under uncultured bacterium. RNAcentral describes it as "partial 16S ribosomal RNA". The record is from RNAcentral.